RNAcentral lists this ribosomal RNA (253 nucleotides) under uncultured bacterium. Its description in RNAcentral is "partial 16S ribosomal RNA". It matches the Rfam family "Bacterial small subunit ribosomal RNA", at positions 524 to 776 of the family's 1533-position model. The record is from RNAcentral.
UACGUAGGGUGCGAGCGUUGUCCGGAAUUAUUGGGCGUAAAGGGCUCGUAGGCGGUUUGUCGCGUCGGGAGUGAAAACCCAGGGCUUAACUCUGGGCUUGCUUUCGAUACGGGCAGACUAGAGGUAUGCAGGGGAGACUGGAAUUCCUGGUGUAGCGGUGGAAUGCGCAGAUAUCAGGAGGAACACCGGUGGCGAAGGCGGGUCUCUGGGCAGUAACUGACGCUGAGGAGCGAAAGCGUGGGGAGCGAACAGG